CGAGCCUAUGUCUUGUAUUGGAUGAUGGGAUUUAAACCUCUUCCAGAGUAUCAAUUGGAGGGCAAGUCUGGUGCCAGCAGCCGCGGUAAUUCCAGCUCCAAUAGCGUAUAUUAAAAUUGUUGCAGUUAAAAAGCUCGUAGUUGAAUUUCUGCUGCAUUGCUUUUGCUCCUUUACGAGUCUUUGCAUUGUGGCUUAUUUCGGACUUUGUUUUACAAUGUCCGGAUGUUUACUUUGAGAAAAUUAGAGUGCUCAAAGCAGGCUUUCGCCUUGAAUAGUUUAGCAUGGAAUAAUAAAGUAGGACUUUGGUUCUAUUUUGUUGGUUUUAGGUACCAAAGUAAUGGUUAAUAGGAACAGUUGGGGGCAUUCGUAUUUAACUGUCAGAGGUGAAAUUCUUAGAUUUGUUAAAGACGAACUACUGCGAAAGCAUUUGCCAAGGAUGUUUUCAUUAAUCAAGAACGAAAGUUAGGGGAAUCGAAGAA
This 479-nucleotide ribosomal RNA is filed under the name Theileria sp. RNAcentral describes it as "SSU rRNA". It matches the Rfam family "Eukaryotic small subunit ribosomal RNA", at positions 486 to 1005 of the family's 1831-position model. The record is from RNAcentral. Lineage: Eukaryota; Apicomplexa; Aconoidasida; Piroplasmida; Theileriidae.